RNAcentral lists this non-coding RNA (750 nucleotides) under Pedionis sagittata. Lineage: Eukaryota; Metazoa; Arthropoda; Insecta; Hemiptera; Cicadellidae. The record is from RNAcentral.
AAAAUUUUUUUUUUAAAGUUUGAUUCUUGCUUUUUUGUUAAUUUUUAUUUAAGAUUAUAUGUAUUUUUUUUAAUUUUUAAUUUUCAGUAAUUAAUUUUAUUAAAUAAAUUUAUUUUUAUUUAGUUAUUAUAAUUAGGAUGGAUUAAUUUUGUGCCAGCAUUCGCGGUUACACAAUUUAUUCAAGUUAAUUUUUUAGGAAAAUAAUUAUUUAAUUUAUUAAGUUAAAAUUUUGUUAUUUAGGUGGAAUUUAUAUUUUUAUAUUUUCUUUAAUUUUAUUAUUAUGAGAUUUAAAUAUUAAACUAGGAUUAGAUACCCUAUUAUUUUUUAUAUAAAGAUAUUUCCUGAAUAUUAAUAGUUAUGUUCUUUAAACUCAAAGAAUUUGGCGGUAAUUUAUCUUUUUAGAGGAACCUGAUUUUUAAUUGAUAAACCACGAUAGAUCCAACCUUUAAUACUAUAUUUGUAUACCUCUAUAUAUAGAAAAUCUUUAAAGAGUUAUAAUUUUCUUUAUCUUUAUAGAUUAAUAUUAGGUCAAGGUGCAGUUUUGUUAAGGUUAAAUUGGGUUACUUAAAUUUUAAAUAUAUAAUUUUAUAAUAAUUUUUUUUGUGAUUAAGUUAGGAUUUAAUAGUAAUUUUAAUUAAUUAAUUAAUUUGAAUUUAGCUCUGAAUUAUGUACAUAUCGCCCGUCACUCCCAAUAAUAUGGGAUAAGUCGUAACAAAGUAGUUGUACCGGAAGGUGUAGCUAGAAAGUUAA